AUGAAGCAGAAAGAUCCAUUAAAGCCAAGUUCAUUCACUUGUCUGAGAAGAUGGUUAAUAAAAAUGAAGUCCACCCUUCUUCAAAAGUCGGGCAUACCCCCGACAAUCUCCUUCGGGCAACCAUUACCAGUCCGGAAUAAUGUAGUUGAAGUGCGUAGAGGUUUACAUGAAAAAAAAAUCAGAUUAAUGCAUAAGGAUGAAGGUGACAGUGAUUACAAAAUGCAUAAUAGUGAUAAAUUCGAGAGAUUAUGGGUCUGUUUGGAUAAACAAUUUAUUUGGAGCUUAUAG
Molecule: non-coding RNA, 288 nt
Organism: Vicia faba (fava bean)
Lineage: Eukaryota; Viridiplantae; Streptophyta; Magnoliopsida; Fabales; Fabaceae
Source: the annotation of a GenBank genome assembly